Phragmites australis (common reed) is the source of this 1576-nucleotide long non-coding RNA. RefSeq lists it as uncharacterized. The record is from RefSeq and is a predicted model, not a curated record. NCBI's taxonomy places the organism in Eukaryota, Viridiplantae, Streptophyta, Magnoliopsida, Poales, Poaceae. The transcript has 4 exons.
GAAUGUUCUUUUUUGCAAUCUAAUUGAAGGCCUUCCGUUUUUCAUAUUUCUUUUUUCUCUACUAUGUGCCUUUAAAUUUUAAACUACUACUUGGAGUUAUUGGGAUUUGGGUUCCAGCGAUUCUUCUCAUUUCAUUGUAGCAAUAUUCUAUCACUUAUUCUUGUUGUAUUUUAAGUGAACAUGUGCUCAUUGUAAGUAAUUAUAUUCUUGUUACAGAUUUUAGACAAACAUAGGGAAGCUAUGGUAUUCUAUGGGACAAUCUAUAAGAAGCACCAAUAAACAUUAGAUUUCUUUGACAUCAGAAUGUUGCACUUGGUGGAUCUUGAGGAGUUGUGUGCGAGCCAAUACCUGCAACUGAUAGCCAAUCAUCAGGUCAACUUUGAACAAUAGAUGGACAUAGAUGACUACAAAUUGAUGCUCAGAACAUAAGCAAAUAACCUGUUCCCAAUUUGGCAUGAAAGAGUCAAGAAUACUAAAAAAAACAACCUAGUAGAGAUUGAAGUCUAGAGACAUCAGCCUCUGCAUUCAAUGAUACAUGGAUAUCAUAUAUUUCUAUGGUUACAAUGAGUUCUAACAUAGAUAAAGUCAAAGACAAUUUGCAAAACUGCCAUGGAUCAUCUCAGAAGCAAGCAAACACGUCACAGUGAGGAUAUAGUGAACUCUUCAUCAAGUAUCCUUUUGAUUCACGUCAUAUAGGAUAUGUAUUAGUUUUGAUUUCAAGCAAUUAGAUGCUAUCAACAUUGAUUUUUGGUGUAAGGUGAAGGACUAGGAUAUUGUUUCAUCAGCAUAUCACAUGUAGUCAUGAUGAUAUACAGUUUAGAUGAUGGUUACAUGCAGGUAAAUAGUAUUGCCUUCUCGCAAGCUUCUUCGGUUGUCCAGAGUGAAGGACCUAAAGAUACAGUAGCACGGGCCUUCACAUAGAUCAGCUCUAAGCUAGCACAUCCGGAUGGAGAUCAUGCUCAACAUGGCCAGGGGAUUGGAGUAUCUUCAUGAGGACUACCCUCCAGUGAUCCAUAGGGAUCUAAAAUUAUCCAACAUACUUUUAGAUUUAGACUUUGAUGCUAAGGUAACUGCUUCCCCUUUUCUUUGAGGUUAAUUUAUUUUAUCAUCCUAACUGCAGUUCAAAAUGAUGGAAAUCGGUAAAAGUGCAACAUUGUAGCUUCACCUCCUUUUAUUUUACUUUAGUUAGCAGUAAUCUCAUUUGCUGUAAAAUGUUUAGUACUUCAGUACACCAUGGUCAUUUUCCUCUGAUGUGCAACAAAAUGGCUCAAUAUGUGUGACCAAGAAGAGUUUUUCCAUCCCCCCCUUGGCAUCACUGGAUAACUACUCAUCUUUCAGAUUAUAUAUUAGUACAACGUUACAAAUCUACUAUCUUAAUUCAAUGAAGCAAGAACUGCUACUUUGUAUGGUUUCCCUCUUCAAUCUUUGGACGCCUCUAUCUUCCUUACCUGACUGAGUAUGUAUUCAUCAUUCGGUUUGAGCUUAUUUAGAAUUUUCUUUGAUCUUUUGUAUGUCGAUAUAGAAACCCUUCUCGCCCAGUGUAUAUGAAAAAUAUAAAUCUACAUUGUCAAUUAAU